This 153-nucleotide ribosomal RNA is filed under the name Stegodyphus dumicola. Its description in RNAcentral is "5.8S ribosomal RNA". It matches the Rfam family "5.8S ribosomal RNA". Rfam says of the family: 5.8S ribosomal RNA (5.8S rRNA) is a component of the large subunit of the eukaryotic ribosome. It is transcribed by RNA polymerase I as part of the 45S precursor that also contains 18S and 28S rRNA. The record is from RNAcentral. Lineage: Eukaryota; Metazoa; Arthropoda; Arachnida; Araneae; Eresidae.
AACUCUGAUCAGUGAAUCACUCGGCUCACGGGUCGAUGAAGAACGCAGCCAGCUGCGAGACUUGGUGUGAAUUGCAGAACACAUUGAGCACUGAUUUUCGAACGCUCAUUGCGGUCUCGUGUGAUACCCGGGACCUCGCUUGUCUGAGGGUCG